AGCAGAAGCACUCUUCCCAUGUGAUGGGCAGUGGGAGUCCCAGCUGUAAUCUCAGAAACCAGAACUCCUCACUCGGGAAGGGCAUCACAGGGGGCCCGCCUUAUUCACACCUGAAGGUCCAGUACAGAGGCUUCCACCCCGCCCCCGCCCCCCAGGAUAGACCUGGGGCUCUGAGCUGAAAAUUCCAGUCACCCCUGAUAAAUUCUCCAGCAGCUGUCCCCUACUAGUUGCUGAAACUUAACUUUAUGCCACAAAACUAGCAAAUGGGCAGCUUUCACCACACUUCCCCCCUUCAAUGCCUGGCACUCGCAAAGGAGUCUUGGCAAAUAAGGCAUUUAGGAAGUGGUUCUGACACCUGGCCCAGGUUACCUGGAAUCUAAAAACAAAAACCACCCUGUAUUAUUUUCCUCAAUCAGGAGGCAGGUAUUUCCCCUUUAAAAGACUUUCCUGAAAGCACCUCUCUCACAGGAUCCCAAUGAUUAAAUAACAUCAGAGCUUCCCUAAACCGAUUCUAAAGAACCACGGCCGGGCUGCGCACACCCACUGGUUUUUCCUCCUCAGAAGGAGGGAUAUGGGAAGUAACUCAAUCAGUCCUGGGCGGGUAAGGAUGGGGGAGUCUGCAGGUGGGAGAAGGGGUGAAGCAAUACCGCUCAAACUUUGCAGUUGCUCUUUAGCAGUUCUGGGCAGAAGCCCAGAGAAUUCUAUACUGGGAAGGGGCAGUCACCCUCCCUAACAGAAAGGCCCUCAAAUCAGCCUAACCCACCAGCUCUGCGCAUCCCAUUCACUCAGACAUGCCCUCUCCGGGCAGUCCCCUCUCCAGGGCCCCCUCACCUUGGCCUCGAAGCAGAUGCCGUGUUGGAAGGCGUCCUCGUUGUGCAAGGGGAUCCGCAGGUCGUGCCCAUCGUCCACAAGGUGCAAAAACGGAGGAUGUUGAGGAUCCAUCCAUACUGGCUCGGGCUUGGAGAGAGUGCUGGCUGCCUACCUCCCAACCCAAAGGAAACCUGCUCCUCUUGGGGAGAAUGGGCACAAGGGUUUCCCACAUUUCAGGGACCCUUACUCAGGGUAACCUUUCUCCCUUCAUCAUUUGCGGUCCAAUGAAAGGAAUGGGGCGCCCUUCCGACGUCACCCGCGGAGGGCGUGCGCAGCAGCUGAG
Molecule: long non-coding RNA, 1153 nt
Filed under: Sus scrofa (pig)
Lineage: Eukaryota; Metazoa; Chordata; Mammalia; Artiodactyla; Suidae
Description: lncRNA (ENSSSCG00055005468.1)
Source: RNAcentral